GAUGAACGCUGGCGGCGUGCCUAAUACAUGCAAGUCGAGCGAACAGACGAGGAGCUUGCUCCUCUGACGUUAGCGGCGGACGGGUGAGUAACACGUGGAUAACCUACCUAUAAGACUGGGAUAACUUCGGGAAACCGGAGCUAAUACCGGAUAAUAUAUUGAACCGCAUGGUUCAAUAGUGAAAGACGGUUUUGCUGUCACUUAUAGAUGGAUCCGCGCCGCAUUAGCUAGUUGGUAAGGUAACGGCUUACCAAGGCAACGAUGCGUAGCCGACCUGAGAGGGUGAUCGGCCACACUGGAACUGAGACACGGUCCAGACUCCUACGGGAGGCAGCAGUAGGGAAUCUUCCGCAAUGGGCGAAAGCUUGAAGGGGCAACGCCGCGUGAGUGAUGAAGGUCUUCGGAUCGUAAAACUCUGUUAUUAGGGAAGAACAAAUGUGUAAGUAACUAUGCACGUCUUGACGGUACCUAAUCAGAAAGCCACGGCUAACUACGUG
RNAcentral lists this ribosomal RNA (497 nucleotides) under uncultured bacterium. RNAcentral's name for it is "partial 16S ribosomal RNA". It matches the Rfam family "Bacterial small subunit ribosomal RNA", at positions 28 to 507 of the family's 1533-position model. The record is from RNAcentral.